GAUGAACGCUAGCUACAGGCUUAACACAUGCAAGUCGAGGGGCAGCAUGGUCUUAGCUUGCUAAGACUGAUGGCGACCGGCGCACGGGUGAGUAACACGUAUCCAACCUGCCGUCUACUCUUGGACAGCCUUCUGAAAGGAAGAUUAAUACAAGAUGGCAUCAUGAGUCCGCAUGUUCACAUGAUUAAAGGUAUUCCGGUAGACGAUGGGGAUGCGUUCCAUUAGAUAGUAGGCGGGGUAACGGCCCACCUAGUCUUCGAUGGAUAGGGGUUCUGAGAGGAAGGUCCCCCACAUUGGAACUGAGACACGGUCCAAACUCCUACGGGAGGCAGCAGUGAGGAAUAUUGGUCAAUGGGCGAGAGCCUGAACCAGCCAAGUAGCGUGAAGGAUGACUGCCCUAUGGGUUGUAAACUUCUUUUAUAAAGGAAUAAAGUCGGGUAUGUAUACCCGUUUGCAUGUACUUUAUGAAUAAGGAUCGGCUAACUCCGUGCCAGCAGCCGCGGUAAUACGGAGGAUCCGAGCGUUAUCCGGAUUUAUUGGGUUUAAAGGGAGCGUAGAUGGAUGUUUAAGUCAGUUGUGAAAGUUUGCGGCUCAACCGUAAAAUUGCAGUUGAUACUGGAUAUCUUGAGUGCAGUUGAGGCAGGCGGAAUUCGUGGUGUAGCGGUGAAAUGCUUAGAUAUCACGAAGAACUCCGAUUGCGAAGGCAG
Molecule: ribosomal RNA, 707 nt
Filed under: uncultured Bacteroidales bacterium
Lineage: Bacteria; Pseudomonadati; Bacteroidota; Bacteroidia; Bacteroidales
Description: bacterial SSU rRNA
Rfam family: Bacterial small subunit ribosomal RNA
Source: RNAcentral